Molecule: long non-coding RNA, 984 nt
Filed under: Pan troglodytes (chimpanzee)
Lineage: Eukaryota; Metazoa; Chordata; Mammalia; Primates; Hominidae
Description: lincRNA
Source: RNAcentral
CAUGUAGCCACCUUAUCCUGCACAGGUCUGUGGCAGGCCGUGAGACGGUGACCAGAGAAGCAGUCAGCACUCACGGCCCCUGCCCUUUCAGAGUUUACGCUUGCUUGGAAGCCUCCAGGAUGGGGAUAAGCACAAGACAUUUAUGCUGGAUUUCAUCUAGGAAGCACUGGUGGAAGGAAGAGAAAGCAGCCCACACAGCAAGGUUCAGGAGAAGAUUCCCAUGAAGGACAACUGGGGUUCAACCCCAUCCAGCAGGUGACAUGGAGCCGGCCUCGGAGGUGUCCUCACCGUGGGACACUGGCAUCUGAGCUACCUCAGGGCGUAGCCGGCCGAUGUUCCCAGCCUCCCCCUGGGCACAGCCAGCCCAGGCCAAGUGGUCUAGCCCUGGCCCCCACUCAGCAUGACCCAAAAAAGGAGCAAAAAGCAAGAAAGCUCAAGGACCCUCAGAAUCAAGUUUUGCAGAAAGACACAAAGCUGAAGACCAGAGGUGCAACUGAGGGAACACACCCUGUAAGACUGCCUCCCGGACACACCACUGCAGCCAGUGAAUUGCACUGUUUAGACUUUGACUUCAGGGUCAGGGUGAGCUGAUGAGACUGGCCCCUUGAUGAGGUAAGAGGCCACCAAGGAGUGAGAGCAGCUGAGUUUGAGCCCUGCCUCUGCCGUCUGUAACUCUCUCAUCUUGAGCAGGUCCAGCCCCAGUGUGGGCCUCAGAUCUCCCAUCCUUGAGAUGAGAGAAUUCAAAUCUAGCUCCGGCUCUGCAGCCCACGCCCUUCCCCUGCAUUGCAUGGCAUCCGAUAGGCUUGAAGAAGGCGUGAAUGACAUUCAAAGGCCACAUCAUCUAAGUCGCACUCCUCUCCCAUCCCUUCCCUUGUUGUCCUUUACAUGAUUCCCAUUCAUCUUUCUUCUCUUGGGCCCAGGGGUGUGCUGGUGAAUGUUUAACAGCCACUCCAUGAAAAAAUAAAAUGGUCUUGAUUGAUGGCA